This is a non-coding RNA of Aedes albopictus (Asian tiger mosquito), 58 nucleotides long. Lineage: Eukaryota; Metazoa; Arthropoda; Insecta; Diptera; Culicidae. The record is from Rfam.
UAGCCUAGUGGUUUAGGCUAUGGAUCGCCAAUCCGGAGACGGCGGGUUCGAUUCCCGU